AUUGAACGCUGGCGGCAGGCUUAACACAUGCAAGUCGAGCGGGGUGAUGGUGCUUGCACUAUCACUUAGCGGCGGACGGGUGAGUAAUGCUUAGGAAUCUGCCUAUUAGUGGGGGACAACAUUUCGAAAGGAAUGCUAAUACCGCAUACGUCCUACAGGAGAAAGCAGGGGAUCUUCGGACCUUGCGCUAAUAGAUGAGCCUAAGUCGGAUUAGCUAGUUGGUGGGGUAAAGGCCUACCAAGGCGACGAUCUGUAGCGGGUCUGAGAGGAUGAUCCGCCACACUGGGACUGAGACACGGCCCAGACUCCUACGGGAGGCAGCAGUGGGGAAUAUUGGACAAUGGGCGCAAGCCUGAUCCAGCCAUGCCGCGUGUGUGAAGAAGGCCUUAUGGUUGUAAAGCACUUUAAGCGAGGAGGAGGCUACUUUAGUUAAUACCUAGAGAUAGUGGACGUUACUCGCAGAAUAAGCACCGGCUAACUCUGUGCCAGCAGCCGCGGUAAUACAGAGGGUGCAAGCGUUAAUCGGAUUUACUGGGCGUAAAGCGCGCGUAGGCGGCUAAUUAAGUCAAAUGUGAAAUCCCCGAGCUUAACUUGGGAAUUGCAUUCGAUACUGGUUAGCUAGAGUGUGGGAGAGGAUGGUAGAAUUCCAGGUGUAGCGGUGAAAUGCGUAGAGAUCUGGAGGAAUACCGAUGGCGAAGGCAGCCAUCUGGCCUAACACUGACGCUGAGGUGCGAAAGCAUGGGGAGCAAACAGGAUUAGAUACCCUGGUAGUCCAUGCCGUAAACGAUGUCUACUAGCCGUUGGGGCCUUUGAGGCCUUAGUGGCGCAGCUAACGCGAUAAGUAGACCGCCUGGGGAGUACGGUCGCAAGACUAAAACUCAAAUGAAUUGACGGGGGCCCGCACAAGCGGUGGAGCAUGUGGUUUAAUUCGAUGCAACGCGAAGAACCUUACCUGGCCUUGACAUAGUAAGAACUUUCCAGAGAUGGAUUGGUGCCUUCGGGAACUUACAUACAGGUGCUGCCUGGCUGUCGUCAGCUCGUGUCGUGAGAUGUUGGGUUAAGUCCCGCAACGAGCGCAACCCUUUUCCUUAUUUGCCAGCGAGUAAUGUCGGGAACUUUAAGGAUACUGCCAGUGACAAACUGGAGGAAGGCGGGGACGACGUCAAGUCAUCAUGGCCCUUACGGCCAGGGCUACACACGUGCUACAAUGGUCGGUACAAAGGGUUGCUACCUAGCGAUAGGAUGCUAAUCUCAAAAAGCCGAUCGUAGUCCGGAUUGGAGUCUGCAACUCGACUCCAUGAAGUCGGAAUCGCUAGUAAUCGCGGAUCAGAAUGCCGCGGUGAAUACGUUCCCGGGCCU
This 1359-nucleotide ribosomal RNA is filed under the name uncultured bacterium. Its description in RNAcentral is "bacterial SSU rRNA". It matches the Rfam family "Bacterial small subunit ribosomal RNA", at positions 28 to 1381 of the family's 1533-position model. The record is from RNAcentral.